CAAGAGCGUAUAUUAAAGUUGUUGCAGUUAAAAAGCUCGUAGUUGGAUUUCUGGUACAACGCGCCUGGCCCGCUUUAUGUGAGUGCUGGUGCGCGUUUGCCAUCCUUCUAGAAAACGUUUCUACCCUGGCAACGGGGCCGGACUCGCGAUCUAGAUCUUUUACUUUGAAAAAUUAGAGUGUUUAAAGCAGGCUUUUGCUGUGAAUACAUUAGCAUGGAAUAAUAAUCUAGGACUUCGGUUCUAUUUUGUUGGUUUCUAGUACUGAAGUAAUGAUUGAUAGGGAUAGUUGGGGGCGAUUAGUAUUUAAUUGUCAGAGGUGGAAUUCUCGGAUUUGUUAAAGACUAACUUAUGCGAAAGCAUUUGCCAAGGAUGUUUUCAUUAAUCAAGAACGAAAGUUAGGGGAUCAAAGAUGAUUAGAUACCGU
This 424-nucleotide ribosomal RNA is filed under the name uncultured eukaryote. RNAcentral describes it as "bacterial SSU rRNA". It matches the Rfam family "Eukaryotic small subunit ribosomal RNA", at positions 592 to 1018 of the family's 1831-position model. The record is from RNAcentral.